ACCCGCACAAGCGGUGGAUGAUGUGGUUUAAUUCGAUGCAACGCGAAAAACCUUACCCACCUUUGACAUGUACGGAACUUGCCAGAGAUGGCUUGGUGCUCGAAAGAGAGCCGUAACACAGGUGCUGCAUGGCUGUCGUCAGCUCGUGUCGUGAGAUGUUGGGUUAAGUCCCGCAACGAGCGCAACCCUUGCCAUUAGUUGCUACGAAAGGGCACUCUAAUGGGACUGCCGGUGACAAACCGGAGGAAGGUGGGGAUGACGUCAAGUCCUCAUGGCCCUUAUAGGUGGGGCUACACACGUCAUACAAUGGCCGGUACAAAGGGUAGCCAACCCGCGAGGGGGAGCCAAUCCCAUAAAGCCGGUCGUAGUCCGGAUCGCAGUCUGCAACUCGACUGCGUGAAGUCGGAAUCGCUAGUAAUCGUGGAUCAGCAUGUCACGGUGAAUACGUUCCCGGGUCUU
RNAcentral lists this ribosomal RNA (459 nucleotides) under uncultured Hydrogenophaga sp. Its description in RNAcentral is "bacterial SSU rRNA". It matches the Rfam family "Bacterial small subunit ribosomal RNA", at positions 919 to 1382 of the family's 1533-position model. The record is from RNAcentral. Lineage: Bacteria; Pseudomonadati; Pseudomonadota; Betaproteobacteria; Burkholderiales; Comamonadaceae.